AUUAUUAUCUGGCAGGAGAGAUACCAUGAUCACCAGGUGGUUUCCCCAAUGCAAGUCUUAUCCACUGCAAUCAGGAGGUACUAACCUCUGUGAUUUCCCCAAAUGUGGGAAACUCGACUGCAUAAUUUGUGGUAGUAGGGGACUGUGUUCACACUUUCCCCUA
Molecule: small nuclear RNA, 163 nt
Organism: Equus asinus (donkey)
Lineage: Eukaryota; Metazoa; Chordata; Mammalia; Perissodactyla; Equidae
Gene: U1
Rfam family: U1 spliceosomal RNA
About the family: U1 is a small nuclear RNA (snRNA) component of the spliceosome (involved in pre-mRNA splicing). Its 5' end forms complementary base pairs with the 5' splice junction, thus defining the 5' donor site of an intron.
Source: Ensembl